AUACGUAGGGGGCGAGCGUUGUCCGGAAUGAUUGGGCGUAAAGGGCGCGUAGGCGGCCCGGUAAGUCUGGGGUGAAAGUCCUGUUUUUAAGAUGGGAAUUGCUUUGGAUACUGUCGGGCUUGAGUGCAGGAGAGGUAAGUGGAAUUCCCAGUGUAGCGGUGAAAUGCGUAGAGAUUGGGAGGAACACCAGUGGCGAAGGCGACUUACUGGACUGUAACUGACGCUGAGGCGCGAAAGUGUGGGGAGCAAACAGGAUUAGAUACCCUGGUAGUCCACACUGUAAACGAUGAAUGCUAGGUGUAGGGGGUAUCGACCCCUUCUGUGCCGCAGUCAACACAAUAAGCAUUCCGCCUGGGGAGUACGGCCGCAAGGUUGAAACUCAAAGGAAUUGACGGGG
RNAcentral lists this ribosomal RNA (397 nucleotides) under uncultured bacterium. RNAcentral describes it as "partial 16S ribosomal RNA". It matches the Rfam family "Bacterial small subunit ribosomal RNA", at positions 523 to 918 of the family's 1533-position model. The record is from RNAcentral.